This is a small nucleolar RNA of Rattus rattus (black rat), 71 nucleotides long. RefSeq annotates it as small nucleolar RNA SNORD113/SNORD114 family. NCBI's taxonomy places the organism in Eukaryota, Metazoa, Chordata, Mammalia, Rodentia, Muridae. The transcript has a single exon. The record is from RefSeq and is a predicted model, not a curated record.
UGGAUCUGUGAUGACUACUAGUGCUGUGUGAGUUGUGGAUCAUAACUAGACAUCUGGGAGUUGAGGUCCAC